ACCUACUCGCUKGGAGGAAAAGAAACUAACAAGGAUUCCCCUAGUAACGGCGAGUGAAGCGGGAAGAGCUCAAAUUUGUAAUCUGGCGGCCUUUGGCCGUCCGAGUUGUAGUCUCGAGAAGCGUCUUCUGCGUCGGACCGUGUACAAGUCCCUUGGAACAGGGCGUCGUAGAGGGUGAGAAUCCCGUCUUUGACACGGACUGCCGGUGCUCUGUGAUGCGCUCUCAAAGAGUCGAGUUGUUUGGGAAUGCAGCUCAAAACGGGUGGUAAAUUCCAUCUAAAGCUAAAUAUUGGCGAAAGACCGAUAGCGAACAAGUACCGUGAGGGAAAGAUGAAAAGCACUUUGGAAAGAGAGUUAAACAGUACGUGAAAUUGCUGAAAGGGAAACGCUUGAAGUCAGUCGCGUCUCCCGGGAUUCAGCCGUGCCCCUGUCGGGGCGCGGUGUACUUCCUGGCUGUGACGGGCCAGCAUCGAUUUUGGCCGUCGGAGAAAGGCCUUGGGAAUGUGGCACCUUCGGGUGUGUUAUAGCCCUGGGUCGCAUGCGACGGUCGGGAUCGAGGACCGCAGCACGUUUCUCCUUCCUUCGCGGGAAAGGGGCUCGGGGUUCGCCCACGC
RNAcentral lists this ribosomal RNA (614 nucleotides) under Turbinellus floccosus. Its description in RNAcentral is "eukaryotic LSU rRNA". It matches the Rfam family "Eukaryotic large subunit ribosomal RNA", at positions 40 to 606 of the family's 3401-position model. Lineage: Eukaryota; Fungi; Basidiomycota; Agaricomycetes; Gomphales; Gomphaceae. The record is from RNAcentral.